GUUGAACGCUGGCGGCGUGCCUAAUACAUGCAAGUCGAGCGAACAGACGAGGAGCUUGCUCCUCUGACGUUAGCGGCGGACGGGUGAGUAACACGUGGAUAACCUACCUAUAAGACUGGGAUAACUUCGGGAAACCGGAGCUAAUACCGGAUAAUAUAUUGAACCGCAUGGUUCAAUAGUGAAAGACGGUUUUGCUGUCACUUAUAGAUGGAUCCGCGCCGCAUUAGCUAGUUGGUAAGGUAACGGCUUACCAAGGCAACGAUGCGUAGCCGACCUGAGAGGGUGAUCGGCCACACUGGAACUGAGACACGGUCCAGACUCCUACGGGAGGCAGCAGUAGGGAAUCUUCCGCAAUGGGCGAAAGCCUGACGGAGCAACGCCGCGUGAGUGAUGAAGGUCUUCGGAUCGUAAAACUCUGUUAUUAGGGAAGAACAAAUGUGUAAGUAACUAUGCACGUCUUGACGGUACCUAAUCAGAAAGCCACGGCUAACUACGU
This 496-nucleotide ribosomal RNA is filed under the name uncultured bacterium. RNAcentral describes it as "partial 16S ribosomal RNA". It matches the Rfam family "Bacterial small subunit ribosomal RNA", at positions 28 to 506 of the family's 1533-position model. The record is from RNAcentral.